CAGGGAGACAACAAAAUGUUUAAUAUUAUUAUUUUGUCACCUUAGGUCGAUCGGUAUCUCACAUUCUUAAUUUAUUAAGGAUUUUAUUUCCUAAGUUUUUUCUAGGUCACACCCAUUACUUUUCCUGGGCCAUUAGCUCAGGUGGUUAGAGCGCACCCCUGAUAAGGGUGAGGUCCCUGGUUCAAGUCCAGGAUGGCCCAUAUCUCUAUGUUGGGGGUAUAGCUCAGUUGGUAGAGCGCCUGCUUUGCAAGCAGGAUGUCAGCGGUUCGAGUCCGCUUACCUCCACUGAUUACCACCUCUUCCAUAAUUAUUGAGGAAAUGUUUUGAGUAGUGAUCAAAUUCUGAACGAAUCUAGCUUCCUAAUGAAUUCAUUAAGAUGCUGGACUCAUUGAAUUAUUUUCAUUGUUUUCAGAGAACCUUGACAACUGCAUAGAUUAUUUUUAAAGACAAUAAGCAUCUUUUAUGAUGCAGAUUCUUUAUUUGUGCGAAUGCAUUAAUAACAAUUCUAUUAAGCUGAUGCUUCAAUUAUGAAGUUAUU
This 538-nucleotide transfer RNA is filed under the name uncultured cyanobacterium. RNAcentral's name for it is "partial miscellaneous RNA". The stretch from base 213 to 285 matches the Rfam family "tRNA". The record is from RNAcentral. Lineage: Bacteria; Bacillati; Cyanobacteriota.